GUGGGGAAUCUUCCACAAUGGACGAAAGUCAGAUGGAGCAACGCCGCGUGAGUGAAGAAGGGUUUCGGCUCGUAAAGCUCUGUUGUCGGGGACGAAUGUGCAGUAUUUGAAUAAAGUAGUGCAAUGACGGUACCUGACGAGGAAGCCACGGCUAACUACGUGCCAGCAGCCGCGGUAAUACGUAGGUGGCAAGCGUUGUCCGGAAUUAUUGGGCGUAAAGGGAGCGCAGGCGGGAAGGUAAGUCGGUCUUAAAAGUGCGGGGCUCAACCCCGUGAUGGGAUCGAAACUAUCUUUCUUGAGUGCAGGAGAGGAAAGUGGAAUUCCUAGUGUAGCGGUGAAAUGCGUAGAUAUUAGGAGGAACACCAGUGGCGAAGGCGACUUUCUGGACUGUAACUGACGCUGAGGCUCGAAAGCCAGGGGAGCGAACGGGAUUAGAUACCCUGGUAGUCC
RNAcentral lists this ribosomal RNA (450 nucleotides) under uncultured bacterium. Its description in RNAcentral is "partial 16S ribosomal RNA". It matches the Rfam family "Bacterial small subunit ribosomal RNA", at positions 354 to 796 of the family's 1533-position model. The record is from RNAcentral.